Molecule: unclassified non-coding RNA, 933 nt
Filed under: Dendronephthya gigantea
Lineage: Eukaryota; Metazoa; Cnidaria; Anthozoa; Malacalcyonacea; Nephtheidae
Description: protein PIH1D3-like, transcript variant X1
Source: RNAcentral
UCCGCAACAAAAAUGCGCCAACCUCGUGAGAGUGGGCUCUUAUGCGAUUGAACGUUCAAACUUGAUUACGACAACAAGGCCGCAAAUUUUUCUUGCCGUCCCUCUCUUUUGUCUUUGGAUCACUUGCUGCUUUCACUGCUUUGGUUUUGAAGGUAGUAUAUUUAGGGAUAAUAAGGGAUAACGCAUUUUGGUUGCUUGGUUUCAAAGUGCAAAACAAUAUGGCGAACAUUUCUCAACUUUCUGCUUUACAAGAAUUACUUAAACCACCGGAUAACGAACCAGAAGAUAUUAGUUCCUGUGAAUUGAAGCCAAACACUCAGACACCUGGCCAUAUUGGGACGGCUAAGAAAAUAUCGCAGGGAAGAGAUAAAGAUGAAAAACAUUCAAAUAAUAUCUGGGGUGAAGAGGAAAUUCCAGAAGGUGAAUUACCAAGUGAUGACCUGGGUGGCAGAAUUGUUCCUGUAUAUGAAAUGUUAUUCAAACAGAGAGUAACAUCUGAAGAUAUUUUCCUGGGAAUGGGGAAUAAGAACCCAUCAACAGCCUGUUGUGAGGAUUUAAUUGUUAAAAUUGAUUUACCAGAAACAGAAUAUGCUGAUGUAAAUUUAAAUGUCACAGAUACUUUUUUGGAUUGUCAAACACCAAAAUACAAACUUGGAGUACACUUUCCUAAACAUGUAGAAAGCAAAAAUGGCAAGGCACAGUGGUAUUCAGAAAAAUGUCUAUUAACAGUGAGUGUACCAUUAUGGAGAGAAUAUGACUUUCUUAAUAUGGAUUCAAGAUAACGAAAUAUAUCCACACAUAAGCUACAGUAUGUAAUGCUUUGUGGAACCUGGCUCACAGAGUCUUCUCACUGGUAAAAGGAAGAGACUGUGACUAAAAAUGUGGCUGUGUUUAGUUCGGUGUGGUUUGGCAUGAGACACUUGCUUCAAAACG